CUGGAACUGCAGGAACAUCUGCCUGAGGCUGGUGACGUUGAUGCAUGCCAGAACUGCCUGAGGAGAGAUAAAGGAUGAGCACUCUCGAGAAUAUUAGUGGUGGCAAGAGUGGCUGAGCUGGGAAAGCAGUUGAAAAAGGAGGACACUGUGUUGGAGACACCAUGGGCCAGCAGCUCCUAUCAUCAAACAUACGUUCAACACAAAAAGUUAAGAAACUGGAAAAGUGUGCAAGGCAGGCAUUCGUGGCCCUGGGAAUCUGAGGAGGACAGAGUUAAGUCAAACUACUGGAGGGAUCGGGGUACGCAGGCGCUCACGGCAACGCACGUUGAUCUCUUUAACUGGGACCAGGACAGCCAAACACACCAC
Molecule: long non-coding RNA, 366 nt
Organism: Monopterus albus (swamp eel)
Lineage: Eukaryota; Metazoa; Chordata; Actinopteri; Synbranchiformes; Synbranchidae
Exons: 4
Source: RefSeq, a predicted model, not a curated record